RNAcentral lists this ribosomal RNA (435 nucleotides) under uncultured Bacteroidota bacterium. RNAcentral describes it as "bacterial SSU rRNA". It matches the Rfam family "Bacterial small subunit ribosomal RNA", at positions 224 to 656 of the family's 1533-position model. Lineage: Bacteria; Pseudomonadati; Bacteroidota. The record is from RNAcentral.
GAUGAGCAUGCGUCCCAUUAGCUUGUUGGUAAGGUAACGGCUUACCAAGGCAACGAUGGGUAGGGGUCCUGAGAGGGAGAUCCCCCACACUGGUACUGAGACACGGACCAGACUCCUACGGGAGGCAGCAGUGAGGAAUAUUGGUCAAUGGGCGCAAGCCUGAACCAGCCAUGCCGCGUGCAGGAUGAAGCAUCUAUGGUGUGUAAACUGCUUUUGUACGAGAAGAAACACUCCUUCGUGAAGGAGCUUGACGGUAUCGUAAGAAUAAGGACCGGCUAACUCCGUGCCAGCAGCCGCGGUAAUACGGAGGGUCCAAGCGUUAUCCGGAAUCAUUGGGUUUAAAGGGUCCGUAGGCGGUUUUGUAAGUCAGUGGUGAAAGCCCAUCGCUCAUCGGUGGAACGGCCAUUGAUACUGCAAGACUUGAAUUAUUGGGAA